RNAcentral lists this ribosomal RNA (1221 nucleotides) under Triticum aestivum (bread wheat). Its description in RNAcentral is "partial small subunit ribosomal RNA". Lineage: Eukaryota; Viridiplantae; Streptophyta; Magnoliopsida; Poales; Poaceae. The record is from RNAcentral.
AUGGCCAACACACGUAACAUUUUCGUGACAGAGAGGGUGCGGUCUUUGGCAGGCGAUGCUCGACGGCAUCGCUGGAUAGGACGUCGGUGCAUGGUUCUGGGCCGCGAUGACCUUGACAUGCAGCGGCAUGGUGUUGCUUCCCAAACGGGGAUUGCCGACGUGGCAAUGGGAUGGCCGGGAUGGGUUGUUCGGCGCGCGGCGGAGGCGAUAUUAGUGGGCCGGCCCAGUUUGGCCCGUCAUUUCGCUUCGUUCUCUCAGCGUCCCCCUGAAUUCUUCCUUCUCUGGCGACGGCAAUGGCGACCGGCGGUUGAUCGCCACCUCAGGGACGAUCGUGACGGCGCGACGGCGCGUCGAAGAAGAAGUGAAAUCAUGGACUCAAGUGAGAUUUUGAACGUUCGGUUUCAUAUUGGAGGGAAGUUCAUCCGCAUUGGUCCAAAUUUGGACUAUGUUGGAGGAGAUCAAGCAAUGUCAGAGAUUGAGAGGGAUAAAUUGUCUCUGCAGGAAGUGAAAGGCUAUUUAAAAGAUCAUACUCAGUUGAUGGAAUCGAUGAACUUCUAUUUUCUGCUUCCUGGAAAAGAGCUUAUCAAUGGCUUAGUGUUCCUUAAUGAUGACAAUUGGUGUGUGAAGAUGGCUGAGUACAUUUGUGUUGGAGGAGUUGCUGAUGUGUAUGUGGAGUAUCAUGGAGAGGAAGAUAGCAAUGACAACAACAGUGGGAGUGAUUUUGAGGAUGAAAUCAUGGAACAGAGUGAUGAUGAUGAAGUAGAUGCAGUUAUAACCGCUGAAGAACCAGAUGCAGUUAUAACUGCUGAUGAACCAGAUGCAGUAACUGGUGUUGAACCUGCAAAGUCUGACACUGAUGUGCUCAUACCUGAUGAAACUGGUGUGAUCACUCAAAGAAUUUGCAGCCCCUUGAAGCAGAGAAGAAGCAAUGCCAGAGAAGUAGAUGUGGAUGAAAUGGCAGGCAUGGAAGGAGUUUUUUCUCAGGUUUUGGAUCCAAGUCAACCUGCAUCAACCCGUGCUUCUGAACCUCAGGCUUCAGGGCAUGUCAAUAACCAGAUGGUGAUAGCUGCAAAUGUUGACAGUGACAAUCAAAAUUCAGACUCAGACAGUGACACUAAAUACAUUGGACAUACUGAUGAUAGUGGGGAGGAUUCAGAAGUUGUGGAGCUCAGGAGACAUGCUAGGAAAUUUAAGAAAAGGAUGAAGGACUCCAAGAGCUAG